This 429-nucleotide ribosomal RNA is filed under the name uncultured Rhodospirillaceae bacterium. RNAcentral describes it as "bacterial SSU rRNA". It matches the Rfam family "Bacterial small subunit ribosomal RNA", at positions 355 to 776 of the family's 1533-position model. RNAcentral also lists the same sequence under 1 other name. The record is from RNAcentral. Lineage: Bacteria; Pseudomonadati; Pseudomonadota; Alphaproteobacteria; Rhodospirillales; Rhodospirillaceae.
UGGGGAAUAUUGCACAAUGGGCGAAAGCCUGAUGCAGCCAUGCCGCGUGUGUGAAGAAGGCCUUAGGGUUGUAAAGCACUUUCAGCGGGGAGGAAAGGGAGCAGGUUAAUACCUUGCCCCUGUGACGUUACCCGCAGAAGAAGCACCGGCUAACUCCGUGCCAGCAGCCGCGGUAAUACGGAGGGUGCGAGCGUUAAUCGGAAUUACUGGGCGUAAAGCGUGCGUAGGCGGCUUGUUAAGUUGGAUGUGAAAGCCCCGGGCUCAACCUGGGAACUGCACCCAAAACUGGCAGGCUGGAGUGCGGAAGAGGAGUGUGGAAUUUCCUGUGUAGCGGUGAAAUGCGUAGAUAUGGGAAGGAACACCAGUGGCGAAGGCGACACUCUGGUCUGACACUGACGCUGAGGUACGAAAGCGUGGGGAGCAAACAGG